UACGUAGGGGGCAAGCGUUGUCCGGAUUUAUUGGGCGUAAAGAGCUCGUAGGCGGUUUGGUAAGUCUGGUGUGAAAUCUCCACGCUCAACGUGGAGGGGCCACCCGAUACUGCCAUGACUGGAGUCCGGUAGAGGAGUGUGGAAUUCCCGGUGUAGCGGUGAAAUGCGCAGAUAUCGGGAGGAACACCCGUAGCGAAGGCGGCGACCUGGGCCAAUAUUGACGCUGAGGUGCGAAAGCGUGGGGAGCAAACAGG
This 254-nucleotide ribosomal RNA is filed under the name uncultured bacterium. RNAcentral describes it as "partial 16S ribosomal RNA". It matches the Rfam family "Bacterial small subunit ribosomal RNA", at positions 524 to 776 of the family's 1533-position model. The record is from RNAcentral.